GGAGAGAUGGCAGAGUGGACGAUUGCGGCGGUCUCGAAAACCGUUUUAGUACCAACUAACGGGGGUUCGAAUCCCCCUCUCUCCG
RNAcentral lists this transfer RNA (85 nucleotides) under Nephroselmis olivacea. Its description in RNAcentral is "tRNA-Ser". It matches the Rfam family "tRNA". Rfam says of the family: Transfer RNA (tRNA) molecules are approximately 80 nucleotides in length. Their secondary structure includes four short double-helical elements and three loops (D, anti-codon, and T loops). Further hydrogen bonds mediate the characteristic L-shaped molecular structure. tRNAs have two regions of fundamental functional importance: the anti-codon, which is responsible for specific mRNA codon recognition, and the 3' end, to which the tRNAs corresponding amino acid is attached (by aminoacyl-tRNA synthetases). tRNAs cope with the degeneracy of the genetic code in two manners: having more than one tRNA (with a specific anti-codon) for a particular amino acid; and 'wobble' base-pairing, i.e. permitting non-standard base-pairing at the 3rd anti-codon position. Lineage: Eukaryota; Viridiplantae; Chlorophyta; Nephroselmidophyceae; Nephroselmidales; Nephroselmidaceae. The record is from RNAcentral.